This 270-nucleotide long non-coding RNA is filed under the name Malus domestica (apple). Its description in RNAcentral is "long non-coding RNA (MDOM_LNC009036)". Lineage: Eukaryota; Viridiplantae; Streptophyta; Magnoliopsida; Rosales; Rosaceae. The record is from RNAcentral.
UGUGAUAAUGGUUUCAAGUGUAUACCAAACACUAGAAACGCCCAGUUUUUUUUUUAAACUAUUUUUUUUUUUAAACUUAAGCGGCACUGGUACUAGUAGGUGGUGGUAAGAAUGUAAGAUAGCAACAAAAUUGUAGUUCGGAACAAAUAAAGCUUUUUCUCUGCUGUGCAAAGUGACAAACCAAUACAAAAUUAAUUAAUAAUUAAUUACAGUAAAAUAUGUCCAGAUGCAUACACACACAUAUAUAAAAUGGAAAAGGAUCUUCUUUCC